AGAGUUUGAUCCUGGCUCAGAUUGAACGCUGGCGGCAUGCCUUACACAUGCAAGUCGAACGGCAGCACGGGAGCAAUCCUGGUGGCGAGUGGCGAACGGGUGAGUAAUAUAUCGGAACGUGCCCAGUAGUGGGGGAUAGCCCGGCGAAAGCCGGAUUAAUACCGCAUACGACCUGUGGGUGAAAGCGGGGGAUCGCAAGACCUCGCGCUAUUGGAGCGGCCGAUAUCAGAUUAGCUUGUUGGUGGGGUAAAAGCCCACCAAGGCGACGAUCUGUAGCUGGUCUGAGAGGACGACCAGCCACACUGGGACUGAGACACGGCCCAGACUCCUACGGGAGGCAGCAGUGGGGAAUUUUGGACAAUGGGCGCAAGCCUGAUCCAGCCAUGCCGCGUGUGGGAAGAAGGCCCUCGGGUUGUAAACCACUUUUGUCAGGGAAGAAACGGUCUGAUCUAAUACAUUGGGCUAAUGACGGUACCUGAAGAAUAAGCACCGGCUAACUACGUGCCAGCAGCCGCGGUAAUACGUAGGGUGCAAGCGUUAAUCGGAAUUACUGGGCGUAAAGCGUGCGCAGGCGGCUUUGCAAGACAGAUGUGAAAUCCCCGGGCUCAACCUGGGAACUGCAUUUGUGACUGCAUGGCUAGAGUACGGUAGAGGGGGAUGGAAUUCCGCGUGUAGCAGUGAAAUGCGUAGAUAUGCGGAGGAACACCGAUGGCGAAGGCAAUCCCCUGGACCUGUACUGACGCUCAUGCACGAAAGCGUGGGGAGCAAGCAGGAUUAGAUACCCUGGUAGUCCACGCCCUAAACGAUGUCAACUGGUUGUUGGACGGCUUGCUGUUCAGUAACGAAGCUAACGCGUGAAGUUGACCGCCUGGGGAGUACGGCCGCAAGGUUGAAACUCAAAUGAAUUGACGG
Molecule: ribosomal RNA, 912 nt
Filed under: uncultured bacterium
Lineage: Bacteria
Description: bacterial SSU rRNA
Rfam family: Bacterial small subunit ribosomal RNA
Source: RNAcentral